This 491-nucleotide ribosomal RNA is filed under the name uncultured bacterium. RNAcentral describes it as "partial 16S ribosomal RNA". It matches the Rfam family "Bacterial small subunit ribosomal RNA", at positions 29 to 507 of the family's 1533-position model. The record is from RNAcentral.
GUGCACGCUGGCGGUAGGCCUAACCCAUGCACGUCGAACGGCAGCACCGUAAGAGCUUGCUCUUACGGGUGGCGAGUGGCGGACGGGUGAGGAAUACAUCGGAAUCUACUUUUUCGUGGGGGAUAACGUAGGGAAACUUACGCUAAUACCGCAUACGACCUACGGGUGAAAGCAGGGGAUCUUCGGACCUUGCGCGAUUGAAUGAGCCGAUGUCGGAUUAGCUAGUUGGCGGGGUAAAGGCCCACCAAGGCGACGAUCCGUAGCUGGUCUGAGAGGAUGAUCAGCCACACUGGAACUGAGACACGGUCCAGACUCCUACGGGAGGCAGCAGUGGGGAAUAUUGGACAAUGGGCGCAAGCCUGAUCCAGCCAUACCGCGUGGGUGAAGAAGGCCUUCGGGUUGUAAAGCCCUUUUGUUGGGAAAGAAAAGCAGCAGGUUAAUACCCCGCUGUUCUGACGGUACCCAAAGAAUAAGCACCGGCUAACUUCGUG